AGAGUUUGAUCCUGGCUCAGGACAAACGCUGGCGGCGUGCGUAACACAUGCAAGUCGAACGGGAGGUGUCUCUUCGGAGGCGCAUUCAGUGGCGGACGGGUGAGUAACACGUGGAUAACCUGCCCUGGUGUGGGGGAUACCCUGUAGAAAUAUGGGCUAAUACCGCAUACGGUGCUUUGGAGGUGGCUCUGGAGCAAGAA
This 200-nucleotide ribosomal RNA is filed under the name uncultured bacterium. RNAcentral describes it as "partial 16S ribosomal RNA". It matches the Rfam family "Bacterial small subunit ribosomal RNA", at positions 8 to 204 of the family's 1533-position model. The record is from RNAcentral.